GCUGACGGAGCUGCUGCAGGGCUUCACGGUGGAGGUGCUCCGGCACCAGCCCGCGGACCUGCUGGACUUCGCGCUGCAGCACUUCACGCGCCUGCAGCAGGAGAACGAGCGCAGGGGCGCCGCGCGCUUCGGCCACGAGGCCAGGACCUGGGGGGACGCGGGCGCCGCCGCCGGGGGAGGCACCCCCAGCAAGGGGGUCAACUUCGCCGAGGAGCCCGCGCGCACCGACUCGGAGGACGCCGAGGAGGAGGAGGAGGCCGCGGACGCCGGCGCGUUCAACGGCUCAGUUGCCCUUUGGCUUUUGCCCCAGCACCAGACAGACCUCCCGGGUCUCUGAGAUUCACAUUGCCAUGUCGGCCUACUUACCAGCCAUCUGACUUACAUGGUCUUCAGCUCCGGUAAUAAACCGAUUCACAAGGCGUGCCUCGGUAUAUCAUAUGGGAAAUCUCUAGAACAUGGGAUUUCACCGACUUGAGUUCAAACCACCUGUUUACUGUGUGAUUUUGCACGUAAGUCAUUUACCACAUUGAGUUUUACUUUCAUAUUUUCACUUUGUUUUGGUUUGGGAUCAUAAGAGCUGCAGUCAUGCUUGCUACAAUGGUUAAGCUAGAUGGUUUUUGUAAAGCGGAGUAGCUAGGCUCUCAAAAAUGUUAGUGGUCAGCUAUCUUCUGAACAUAGUGUAAAAGAAAAAACAAUAAAGGCUUCAGUGCUGUGCCGCA
RNAcentral lists this long non-coding RNA (719 nucleotides) under Vulpes vulpes (red fox). Its description in RNAcentral is "lncRNA (ENSVVUG00000022033.1)". Lineage: Eukaryota; Metazoa; Chordata; Mammalia; Carnivora; Canidae. The record is from RNAcentral.